Podarcis lilfordi (Lilford's wall lizard) is the source of this 42186-nucleotide non-coding RNA. Lineage: Eukaryota; Metazoa; Chordata; Lepidosauria; Squamata; Lacertidae. The record is from the annotation of a GenBank genome assembly.
UGGUAACUGGUACUAAACAAGAGAGCUUGCCAGUCCCCUUUAAAAGCCCAGAAGCAGUGAGCAGGGAUGAUGAUUGGAACUCCCAUUCUAUUUCCCCCCUGGCACUUUCAUUCAGCCUCUUCUCCAGCCAGAUAUGGGGCAAAACUAAAACCAUGCUUGCUACUGCAGACAGAAGUUGAGUCAAAUGUUGGAUGGGUGGGUUUUGGUGGUCCAGUGGGUAUAUAUUCUGUCAUAAAGCAAACUACAUAUCACAGGUUCCAUAUUUUUGUAACAUGUCCAUCCAAAAUCUUAGCCAGCCACCCAUACUGCUUAACAUCUUGGAGUCUAAUCUGUCCCCUGUUCUUCUUUUGGUAGUUUGGAGUAUAACCUGUUUAUACUUCUAUAUAUAUGGUGAAGCAACAUUAACCCUGUUUACAUACUACAGUUGUGUACACUGUACACCUAUUGAAUGGGAUGGGGGAGGGAGAGAGGAGAUUUCACUCUGCUCUCCCUUCCUUAUUCAGAUUGAGCACAUAUCUCAUGAAAGCAUCUUUACACCUAGAAACUGUACACACAAGCUGUGGAGAUGUGAUGGGGAGCCCUGUUUUUGCAGGGUUCUCAACCUGUGAAGAGCUCAUGCAGAUGCCUUUUAUAUCCAUAUAUGCUAUUUUACCAGAUGCUGAACUGACAAAAGGAGGGAAGUUUCUAUCCUUGCUCUAUGCAUGCUCUGUACAUGACUGCAAGAUGUGCAGAGGGCUAAUGUUGCUUUGCCCCGUCAAAAGAAUAGUGUGACUAGGCCCUUAACUGCUAGGAGAGGGGCAGGGGAUAGGAUAGACUCCCAAACAUUGUGUAUAAGAGAGGGGCAGAAGCCAGUGGGUGUGGGACUCCUCUAUGCCUGUUCAGUGGACAUGAUCUCAACAUACAUUGAGUUUCUCUGGAGUGGCAGCCAGCCCUGUGAAUGCAUCCUCAGACUUCUGUGUUUGCAGCUUCCCAGAAAACCCUUGGCUUGAGCCAAGAGGUAUUGAGCCAUGAUCUUCUUGGUACACACUGGAGGUGUGUUGGAUGAAUGACAAGACCAGGCAGCACACUAAAAAGAUCAACCUUGGCCUGGGGGGGGGGGAUAAUGGACUCAUGAGUCCCGUCUCAUGAACACACUCCUGUCCUCUUCUCAACCUUGUCUCAUGAGAUGUUCUGGACUCAAGGGGAAAAGACAUUGUUUGCUGCGACACUCCAGUGUGUUGUGAGUGUCUGCCAGGUUAGGUGCCAGGAUGUUACAGCACAGCAUUCGGGAAACACCACUCUUGUGUCUUUUUUAUUUUUUAAAAAAUCCACACUGUAGCAUCCAGGAGUCUUUGAGUCCUUUCACACCCACCCAAACGCUUCUCUAACAUCAUACAAAUGGCAUGCUGUUUGUGUGCUUUCAGCAUGGCUCUCUUGGGAUGUGCCUGGUUUGUUUUCCAGUAGGUAAAAUCAUCCAUGACUCAAUUCAGCUCUUCAGGAGCUGUGGGAUUGGAGAGGAGGUGGAGAAGAGGACUAUGCACACAAUACACAGUUCUAUGCACCAGUAAGCCACAGGCAUGAGUCUCUGGAAGGCCAGCAGUUUGGGGAGGGGGGGUGUUCACAAGAGCUUUCCAAGCUUGCAGAACACAAAGGAAAGAUCUGAAGUAUCAUAUGAUCAUUGUCAGUAGAGCACUGCAGGCUACCAGGCAGUACUGGCACCAAUGGGGAUUUGUUCACUAAGCCUUCUAGCUGCUUGAGGAGGGUUCGUUCUGAUAGUGCUGGAGAGCAAUGUGAUAAGCACACUGCAGUCCAAUGAGGAUCCCUUUUCCAGCUGUGCCUGUAAUUAAAUAAGCAUAAACUUGCUAUGUAGCUGCAUGCUACGUAUCAAUUGAGCAGCUAGAACACUGGAUGUUGUACAUAUAUGUUUGCUUAUUAAUAAAUUAUCUGUUCUAAUUUACUACAUAGAAUCUGGACCUACAUGUUGCCGACAACACAUGAUACCAGCAGUGGAAUACGUUGUGUGAAGGUACUGUAGAAUAUUUGAGGGCCCUGCAUUCUUUAUCUCUGUCACUUUUGAGGUCGGGAAGAGGGAGAGGUUUGAGUACAACGAGAAGGGAGUGACACUGAAAGGGAAAAGGGGAGUGUUUCAAACAACAGCAGAAGCUUGAGUAAAGUGAUGGGUGGAGGGACACUGAGAGCAUGCUUUUAAAGAAAAUAAAGCCAUUUUAAGAAGGAGAAAUAGCAGAAAUGGGUACAACAAAGAAGCUAAAAUUAUUUAUUUAUUUAUUUAUUUAUUUACUGUACCUCAAACAUUGUUUAAAACUGCCACUUUCCUCCCUCAGUGUCACCCAAUGCUUGCUCUACUCAACCCUCUGCUGGGUUUUGUUUUGUUUUUUUAAAACAACACCACCAACACCACCAACAGCAUCACCACCAACGAUGCCUUAUGAGGAACAGCUAAGAGAGCUGGGCAUGUUUAGCCUGGAGAAGAGGAGGUUAAGGGGUGAUAUGAUAGCCAUGUUCAAAUAUAUAAAAGGAUGUCACAUAGAGGAGGGAGAAAGGUUGUUUUCUGCUGCUCCAGAGAAGCGGACACGGAGCAAUGGAUCCAAACUACAAGAAAGAAGAUUCCACCUAAACAUUAGGAAGAACUUCCUGACAGUAAGAGCUGUUCGACAGUGGAAUUUGCUGCCAAGGAGUGUGGUGGAGUCUCCUUCUUUGGAGGUCUUUAAGCAGAGGCUUGACAACCAUAUGUCAGGACUGCUCUGAUGGUGUUUCCUGCUUGGCAGGGGGUUGGACUCGAUGGCCCUUGUGGUCUCUUCCAACUCUAUGAUUCUAUGAUUCUAUGAUUCUAUGAUUCUACUUCCCUCCUCUCAGUGUCCCAUCAUCUUUGUUUUAUUCCAACCUCUCCCGUUGUUUAAAAUGACUUCCCCUUUCUCUGCAUUCUUCCCUCCCUACUUUACUCAAACUUCUGCCAGUGUUUAAAACCACCACUUUCCCCUCUCAGGGUUUGUCGCUACUCAUCAAUAGCAAGGAUCCAUUCUGAGUAUCUUUGCUUCCUUGGUAGGUAGGGAAAGAGCAGGAAGAGAAAAAGAGAAGCUAGGAUCUGAAUCAUAAAUCCUGCUUGCACAGACUGUGUCUGUGACCUAUAUUCCUGCCAGAGGCAGAAGAGGCUUUUACACUUCUUUAUGGUAUCAUCUGAAACUGUUCCCAGACAUGACAAAUCGCAAACUUGGUAAGAUAACGUUAACAUUUCAUUCACAUUUAAAACAUAUGGCUUGGUUGGAAUAGUUUGCGAAUGAAGUGUUAUUUGCGUCACACAAGAUUGUAAGCACAAUACUUUGUUUGUGUGUGAAAGCCACUGCCUUUAGGUUGAUACGGUGUAUCAUGUACUGUGAUUUGAGGGAUGGUGUUUCAUACUGCAUAUACUGGCUAAAGAGGGAUUCUGCUGCUACCUCAGUAUGGUGCAAUCAGAGUUUGUCUGCUAGAUGAGGUUUGCCCUAUCUAGGCUCAAAGCUCAGAAGAAGCAGAAUGUAGCAACAGCACUUCAGGUAGAGCAGAAUCGCAUCAAAGAGAGCAAGGCGGUGGGUAUCAGGACCUUGGAUAGCACACUGAAGAAGGUGGUGGCUGGAGAAUUCUCCCAAAAGCAGAGCUGUUGAUUCAGCAGAGUGAUGAGGCCUACUGAAGGCUGACUGGUCUGCAUUUGCUGUUAGCUUCACUCCUUAUGAAGAACAGCCUCUGUUUGUAAAAAGCAUUUCACUCCUACAACAUGGGUCUGGUGGGGACUGUUUUGGAAAUGCAACUUCUGAUUCCAAGGAGUCCGGAAAGGCCACAUACCCCAGCCCAGAGGGUCCUGGAAUGGGAGGUGAUGGUUUCCUGAGCAUUGCCUCAUCCGUAUUCCUGUCUUCUUUUGAAGUUGAAGAGUAGCCAUGAUACAGACAUCACAAGUAGAAAUUAUUGAUCACCCUUUCCACAAAUGAUGUGGGGAGUGAAUGGAAGGAUCAUGUUCAGGGUUUUUAAAACUCCUAGUCACUUGAGAGACACGUGUGUGUGUGUGUGUGAGAGAGAGAGAGAGAGAGAGAGAGAGAGAGAGAGAGACAAAUGACCAACAAGAUCAAUAAAUAAUUUCAAUAGUUGUUAUCUUGUGAACCACCCUAAGAUCUUUGGAUUAAGUGUACAUAAAUUUAAUAAAUAAUCAUCAUCAAGAUAAAAAUCUGUCCCAUGUUGGUCAGUGAACACCCAAGCCCACCUUCCGUCCCCUGAGCCCUUUAUCCUCAUGGGCUUAUGCCCGCUUGACUUUGUGUAGGAGGAUGCAACCCUAUCUACAAACGAUGCAGCGUUUUCUCAAGUGUCUCUUCACAGCCACAAGGUCCUUCAAAUGUUUGCUUUAAAAUGGGGAUAAGUCCUGAAGUUGGAAGACCCAAGGUGCCAGUUUCUGUUCUCCAAAUACCAAAUUCCACAUGCAAGUGCAUGGAAUGGAUACAACACUGGCACAUCAAUCUUAUGUUAUGGGAGCGAACCCUGUUGAAUUCAGUAGCGCUUCCUUCCUAAUGACAUACUUUUAGGACUGCACUACACAUGUAGGGUUUCCUGCUUCAAGGCAAGCUCAUAAUUGCUAUUUCACAAAUGAAGUUUGUGUGUACACGCAUGCCUAUUCUCUGGCAGCAACGAGGGAAAAGACAUUCCAACAUGGAUAGCAGUAAACUGAAGGCAGCGCUCAACAUGCGAAUACACUCCUCAGCUAUCAAUAUUUUACUAAAGGGAUGUCCCUUGGCAUUUGUCAAGAAAGCAACAUGUCUUGUUCACUAGCCUGAGAAGUGUUGAUAAAAGGAUAGUUGAGAGUAGGAAGCCUCAAGAAAUUAAAGUGGUACAUUGCUGUAACUCUGUCCUUACCUUACCUCAAGCAACACAGGGCAAGUUAAGGACAGGAAAGCAAUGGGAAUGACUGCAUUACCAUGCUUGUUGUGGUUUGAAGACAAACUCAUAAUGUCACUGUAACACAGUUUGAUGAAAUUUAAUUUCCUUGGUAUUAUUACCAUUAUAUUUUUAUGCAGCAGUAAAAAGGUUGAUCCUUUUUCUUUCUUUGCCUGAAGACACAUGGGCUUUCUGAAUCUCUGCAGAUUACAAUGAAAGGCAUCACUGUGUUCUCACUUGAAUACUUUGGAAAUAUGUUAUUAUUGAUCUGAUGGUCAGUGGCAAAGUGCUCUGUGGCCGGCAGAGCAGGACAGCGGUAGCAGAGUGUUUAACUUUACGAUGAGAGAAUUUCCUUAUUAAAAUAUAUUUUGGGGCAUGUGAAGUAGCUGUCUUGGGGCAAACACUUCUCUUGAAAGUAUCUAAACAAGGAAGAAUGAUUUGAAUGCAGUAUUUAAAUCAUUAAAAAAUGUUUUUAUAUAUUUUAAAGUGUUUUAAAGGUGUUUUUACUUUUUACUUUGUUGUACCACCGUGAACAGUGGUUUUUAUCUAUGUAUUUUUAUUUUGUUCCGUUUUAUUGUGGUUUGGGGUGGGGAUUGGUUUUGUUUAGGUAUAAUUGUUUUUGGUUUGGUUUGUUUUUCUAUUUUGUAAAUGGAGGCUUGUAUGAGGCUUGGGAUUGCUACCGUGGAGGGGUGAGGGAGGUAUGGUGGAGGGGGCAGAUGUUAUAGGCAAAGGGGGUCGAGAUACGGAUAUGCUCGUAUCCCUUCCAAUCUGCGCCCCAUCCCGAGGGACAAGGGUAGGGUGAGCAAGGAUUACUCACCUCCAUCACUGGUGUUGUGCAAUGCCAGGUCUAUAGGCAACAAAACCGCCACUCUGCGAAAUUUCUUUACCUUGCAGGGGGUCAACCUGGCUUGUGUGACGGAGACCUGGGUGCGCGAAGGGGCAACAGUUACCUUAUGAGAGAUGGCGCCCCCGGGUUUCUCCGUCCUCCACCAGUCACGGACUGUGGGCCGGGGGGGAGGGGUGGCAUUAUUAAUCCGGGAAGAUUGUUCUUUCAGGGCUCUACCAUCGCCAUCGAUCCCCGGCAUUGAAUGUGUUGGCCUAGUGUGGGGCUCUGAGGUGAGCUUGGCUGUCUGGCUGGUGUACCGGCCACCUAGCGCACCAGCAGCCACCCUGUCAGGCCUGCUGGAGGCGGUGGCUGGCUGGGCCUUGGAGUUCCCUAACCUAUUGGUAUUGGGGGACUUCAACAUCCAUGCUGAUGCCACUCCCUCCUCACAGGCUCUGGACCUGGUGUCUUCCAUGGUGACACUAGGGUUCUCCCAGUUUGUUUCAGGCCCCACACAUCAGGCAGGCCACACGCUGGAUUUGAUCUUUGGUGUAGGUAUAGAUGUGAUCAUGUCUCCUUCGAUGAAGGUGCCAUGGUCUGAUCACUACGCUCUGAAAGCCAGGAUUGACUUUCCACCCCCACUCUGCUUAGGUGGCGAGCCGAUUUGGGCUCGCCUGCAGAGGCUGAUGGACCCUGAAAGAUUCCGUCAAGCCUUGCGGGACUUUGCUCCCCCUGGCGACUCAUUGACUGAGCUUGUUGAGGGCUGGAAUAUCCAGCUCCUGGCAGCCAUAGAUGAGAUCGCACCUAAGCGCCCUUUGCGACUCCGCAGAAACCAGGCUCCCUGGUUUACUGAGGAGCUUCGGAAAAUGAAGCGGGACCUCAGACGGCUAGAGCGAGUAUGGCGGGGUGCCCGUGACGGAGCCUCAAGAACAUCUUAUAGGGUUUUUAUGAAAACCUAUGAGAUGGCAGUGAAGGCCGCUAAGAAGUCUUACUUCUCGGCCUCCAUUGCAUCCGCUAGCUCUCGCCCGGCGCAAUUAUUUAGUAUAAUUAGGUCUUUAACGUCCCUUGAAGGACAGCCAAAUUUAAAUAACAAUCUGACACACAGCUGUGAGGCAUUUGUGAGCUUUUUUGCAGAGAAGGUCCUGUUGCUCCGCCAUGACCUCCCUGCCAAUUUGGAUACAAUAAAGGAACUGGAGGCCCCUCGACUGUCCUCAGGUCCAGUAUUGGACCACUUUGACCGGAUAUCCCCAGCCGAUGUGAACAGACUCCUCCGAGCUGGAAAGCCCACCACCUGUCCUCUUGACCCGUGCCUGUCUUGGCUGAUUAGAGCGUGUCCAGACGAGGUGCGGGCCCCCCUGGGGGAUAUCAUCAAUUUGUCCCUUGGCACCGGGAUAUUUCCAGGGGAAUUGAAGGAGGCAGUGGUGCGCCCGCUCUUAAAGAAAACAUCAUUAGAUCCCUUAGAUCUAUCCAAUUACCGCCCGGUUUCGAAUCUUCCAUUCCUGGGUAAGGUGAUUGAGAGAGCGGUUGCUGAACAGCUUGGUAGGUUUCUGUAUGAAACAUCGGCUCUGGAUCCAUUCCAGUCUGGCUUCUGCGCUGGUCAUGGGACCGAGACGGCUCUGGUCGCCCUAACAGAUGAUCUCCGCAGGCAGCUGGAUCGAGGCGGGUCGGGGCUGCUGAUUCUUCUAGACCUGUCAGCAGCCUUCGACAUGGUCGAUCACGAACUCCUGGACCACCGCCUUGCCGACGUGGGGAUCCAGGGCACAGUCCUUCAAUGGCUGCGCUCGUUUCUCUCUGGACGGGGACAGAGGGUGGCGCUUGGGGGGAAUUGUCAUCGCGCCACUCCUUGGUGUGUGGAGUGCCUCAGGGUGCAAUACUCUCCCUGAUGCUUUUUAACAUCUUUAUGCGCCCCCUCGCCCAGCUUGUCCGGAGUUUUGGGCUGGGUUGCCAUCAGUAUGCCGAUGACACCCAACUCUAUCUGUUGAUGGAUGGCCAUCCUGACUCGGCCCCAGACACACUGACCAGAUGUUUGGAAGCUGUGGCUGGAUGGUUACGUGGAAGCCGGUUGAAGUUAAAUCCUUCGAAGACAGAGGUCCUCUGGCUGGGACGGGACGAUAUGGGAUUGGGGGGGGCAACUCCCAUCUCUUGCGGGGGUGCAAUUAGUGCCAGCACCGUCCGUUAAGAGUUUGGGUGUAAUCUUCGAUACCUCCCUCUCUAUGGAGGCGCAGAUUACAGCUAUAACAAAGGCAGCAUUUUUUCAUCUCCGCCAAGCUAAGCAGUUGGCCCCUUAUCUCUCUCGCCCUGACCUAGCCACUGUGAUCCACACGACGGUCACCUCCAGACUGGAUUAUUGUAGCUCGCUCUACAUGGGGCUGUCCUUGAGACUGACCCAGAAACUCCAGCGGGUGCAGAAUGCCGUGGCAAGACUCCUUAUGGGGUCUUCGCUGCGAGAUCACAUUCAUCCGGUACUAUACCAGCUGCACUGGCUCCCGGUGGAGUACAGGAUCAGGUUUAAGGUGCUGGUUUUAACCUUUAAAGCCCUAUACGGCCUAGGACCCUCGUACCUACGGGACCGCCUCUCCUGGUAUGCCCCACAGAGGAACCUACGGUCUGCAAAUAAAAACAUCCUGAAGGUCCCAGGCCUCAGAGAGGUUAGGCUGGCCUCAACUAGAGCCAGGGCUUUCUUGGCUGCAGCUCCAAUCUGGUGGAACGCUCUGUCACAAGAGACUAGGGCCCUGCGGGACCUGACAUCUUUCCGCAGGGCCUGCAAGACAGAGUUGUUCCACCAGGCCUUUGGUCAGGGCCCAGCCUGACUCCCUCCUCUGGCAACCUGCACAGAAUUUUGCUCAACGGUUGCCAUUAAUUUGAUUUUAAUUAAUUUUUAUAAUGAAAUGUUUUUAGACUGUUGGAUUAUUUGAUUGUUUGAUUAUUUGAUUGUUGUUAGCCACCCUGAGCCCGGCUUUGGCUGGGGAGGGCGGGAUAUAAAUAAUAAUAAUAAUAAUAAUAAUAAUAAUAAUAAUAAAAUCACCAGAGCCUCAGCAAUACAAAUGUAAGAGAUGGGAACUGGCUAGUCACAUAAAUGGCCACUGCUGCAUUGCUUCACAAAGACCAGACCAAGAUGUCAUUAAAGAAACUGCAUGCAUGUCUCUUCCUUUCUUCCCCCUAGAGAACUACAAAAUGUGACAUAACCAUGGUGUGCAUUUCCCUACAAAUGAAACUUACAAGAAUGUAGUGGGACAGUGAAAUGAUGUCCCUUCAUGUCCUUUGUAUGGGGAAUUGAGGAGAAGGUGAUGGCUACUGCUUCUGUCAGCAGUUGCACCAUUUCUGCAAUGCCAGGUUCCAGCUUAAGAAACUUAAGCACUUAGGCUAUUUUCAGUCCUUCAAGAUAGAGUGACUAUGCUUAUGUAGCCAAAACAGUCAGCAUCACUCCACCCAGUGUGCAAGGGGGAGGUAUCAGCCUUGAGGUUUGCAAAAGCGUGUGCACACACACAAAUAUUCAGAGGAAAACCCCAAGGGCUGGAAACCCCCCCCCCAAAUUCCCUAAUGAGGGCUGAGCAUGGGAUGCUGAGUGACUGUUGGGGCACAAGAAGAAACUGUAACAUUGUUGGUGGAAAUUUAAAUGUAAGAAUGCUGUCAUUAAAACAUGGUUUGGUUUGUAAAUAGGUAACUGAGUUGACAUCUAACUGGAGCCUGGAAGAUACAAUGUAGAGGGGUUCUGCUGCUGGCAUUCUGCCGAGAAGCAGAUAGUCUGGCAGCUAUUAGUCACUACCAAGGAUGCAUGAUAGCCUGAGCAAGAGGAGAUUGGUACAGUGGUGCCUUGCAAGACGAAAUUAAUCCGUUCCGCGAGUCUCUUCGUCUAGCGGUUUUUUCGUCUUGUGAAGCAACCCUAUUAGCGGCUUAGCGGAUUAGCGCUAUUAGUGGUUUAGCGGCUAUUAAAGGCUUAGCGGCUUAGUGGCUUAGUGGCUAAAAGGCUAUUAGCGGCUUAGAAAAAGGGGGGGGGAGCGAAAAAAAUCUCAAGACUCACAAGACAUUUUCAUCUUGCGAAGCAAGCCCAUAGGGAAAUUCAUCCUGCGAAGCGCAUCAAAAAACGGAAAACCCUUUCGUCUAGCGGGUUUUUUGUCUUGCGAGGCAUUCGUCUUGCGGGGCACCACUGUAGUUAUCAGAAAUGCAGGGCAGCAAGGCAAAGGAAGGCUAGGCAGUCAGCACCUUGGAGGGAGAUUGAGGUGGGGUUCAGGACCAUGGAUGGUGCUCUUUCUGCUGAGCCCAAGUGUCUUAGGUUGUCUCAGCAACUGACUGGGGUUUAUUCCAGGGCUGGGGAAUCAUUGACACCACCACCCCCAAAGUGCUGCCUCCUGGCCAGCUAAAGGGCUGACAACUUCUUCUGCAGUUGUUGGCUCUUUUCGGGUCAUGAGGUUUCCAGCUUGGCGGGGUGGGAAUCUCUCCUCAGGGCUCUGUUGAUCCCCUGAGAAGACUGUGGAUCAGCUGUCAGAGUCUGGCAACAGAUGUGUCCACUCAGGGCUCAAGGAGAUCAGCUCUGGUGUUCAUUGACCUACAUGGGACAGAUUUUAGUCAUGAUAAUAAGCAUUGUAAUUAUUUACUGAACUUGUGGGUCAGUUGUUAUGCACACAAAAAGAGUCUCCCAGGUGACUAGGAGGCGGGUCAUCUGGUUGGACAUUGCAAGAACAGAAUGCUGGACUAGGUGGGCCAUUGGUAUGAUCCAGCGGGGCUCUUCCGAUGUUUGUAUCAGUCUCCUCUUCAGGGCUGCAGUUGCUAGAGGACUCUGCCUCCAAUAAGUUCUGUUCUGGGCUCCUGAGAGUUGUUAAAGAGAUGACUAGGUGUCGUCUAGAGUUUUCUGUCAUGACAGUUGACAGUACCUUAGCCUUGGGGGCUGAAUGUGGCCCUCUAGCCCUCUCUCUCCAGCCCUUCAGGCUCUGUCCAGGCCAUGCACACCCUGACCACACUGAUCCUACUCUGUACCCUUCUCUAAUUGUGUUACCUGCAUCCUUGAUCUGUGAUAAUACCUCUUGAUUGCCUGGAUGAAAGGUGUGUCUGAAAAAACCCACCCCUGGCAAGUGAGAUGGCACUUGGAACACUGUGUAAGAAUCUGGUUGGCACACCUCAAAAAGGAUAUUGUGAAAAAGAGUGGCCAAACUGAUCAAGGCACUUGAGCUUCUCCCCUUUAAAAGUAGGUUAGAACAUUUGGGACUUCUAAGUUUGGAGGGGAAGGGUCAGAAAGGGAGGAUAUUGUGGAGGUAUCCAAAAUUUUAUGUGUGGAUGAUUUUGCCAAUGAAUUUGUUUGUUAGGCCUAUCCAAACAAACAAAUAACAAAAGCACACCAACCCCAGGACAGUGUUUUCCUAUUAAUUUCUGCAUAGGGUUGUUUUUAUAUCUGUAACCCAUCCCUGUGGUAGAACUUUUCAAGCAAAGGCAUACCUUAUGUAUAGCUGCUGGAGGGCUGCAGCUUUGUGUGUGCUUUUCCUAUGGUCCUCCUGGCAGAUCCUUUGCUAUCAUUACUCAUGUUGACACAUUCUGCAAAGUAACUGAGGCAACUUUUGGGAAACAAGGGUUUCUAAUUUCCUUUUCAAACUCUGAAGGGACAAAAAAGAGAAUCUGCACACACACACACAGAGAGAGAGAGAGAGAGAGAGAGAGAGAGAGAGCGCGCAAAUAAAACAGAUCAUUUAAACUGAAAUUUCAUUGUGGACUGCCUCUGCUUUCUCUGUCAUACAAGGGAGCGGGAGUACAAAAACCCUUAGGUCUGGUUAGUAAAGGAGCCAGCAUUUCUAUACCUUAAACCUCCAGAGGUCUAAAAAUUCCUGCGUUCAGAUCCCAUUUCAGAAGUGUAGUACAAUAAAACACUGUGUUUUGUUUAAAACAUGGCAAUUUGAACUUUCAGGCUUGCCUUUCAAGCAGGAUUUUGUAGUAGUGCUGAAAAGAGACAGCAAAAGGUUUUAAUAAUAAUAAUAAUAAAGUUGCAUUUCCCCAUUUGCCUCUGGCAUGCUUGGAAGCGGGUCUGCUUGCUUCAGAAACACCAUAACAUUAGUGCAGUCUCCUCCAAGCUGGUGCCCGCUGGGUGCUUUGGACUACAACUCCCAUCAGUCCCAGCCAGCUGGAGAUGAUGGGAGUUGUAGUCAAAAACAUUUGCAGAGCACCAGGGUGCAAUAGUUGCAUUGGUGAGUUAGAUGGGCCCUGGCUCUUUUUUCUUUUCUUUUUUUAAACAAACCUUCAAAAUGACUGAGACAGGAUGCUGGUGUUUACAAUAAAACAGGUUUAUGGACCUUGUCAUUUGACAUCUCACAUAGGGAUGACGGCAAUACUGAACUGCAAAAUAAGCUGCAAAGAGAAAGUCGUCAUGUACUGUUCGGAGGUCACUCUGAUGGAUAAUGACACUUUAAAACAUGUUUUGCACUUUGGACUAUAAUUUUUUCUAAAAAUGGGACAGCAUCAAAUACAUUUUUGGGCUAAUGAAAAACAGAAUUGUAAAUAUAUUAGCAAACAGGCCAUCUGAAUAGGCCCUGCUGGUGGUCUCUGUGGAGUCAUAUAACUGGGGCUGCUUGCACUUGGAUAACCUCCUGGUAGCAAGAGAAAAUGUUUAUGAAUCCAGAAUGGCUCACAAACGUUAGAACAAAUGAUUACUGUAUCCUGAAAAACUGAACUGCAAGUGACUUCUCCUGGCAGUUUGUCAUUGCUUCGUCUCCCACUUUAAAGCAUUUGGUCACCCCACCAAUAAGCAAAGAUAACGUGGCUGAAUGCUGACACCGAGUUGCAAGCAGACAUUUGCAAGAUGGCAGAGUGAACAGCUCACAAACAGAAGGCAGCUUAUGAAUGGAUCUUACUGCCAAGGAAGGAGGAAUGGCAAACAAAUGGGAAGAACCCAUAGCUGGCUUCCGAAUCCUCUGCCCAAGCCUUAAUGCCUCUGCUUGUACAAAACGUCUAUAGUAGGUUGAGAGAGAUGUUCCAGGUGCAGCCUAUUAAAGCUGAUCCAUGUUUGUUACUUUGAGAGCUCCUCACUCUGUUAGUUUUAAGCAUCGUAGUAUGUGAGUGUUUUGCAAUCCUCAACAUGUUUACCCCAAAUCACCCUGCAAGGGAGGGAAAACUUGUCACUCCCACCCGGACAACAUGGAGAACUGUAUGACUCAGAUCACGCAGGAUCUUAUUCCCAGAGUAGGAAACUAAAAGCACGGUCUUGACCCUGAAUGGUCUUCCACCUUGCUUCUCUGACAUGGCUUUUAGAUUUUUUCUUUAUCUCCAUGUUCAGGAGAUGGGAGAUUCUGAGCUUUCAUUACAUGUGUCAGGCAGCAUACUGUUUCAAAAGAGGCAAAAGCAGUAACCCUGAACUGGACAUUGCACUCCCUGCAGUUUAAUGCACCACCAGCCAGACAUUCUAAAUAAUCCCUGAUGCUCUCAUUCCAAACCCCAUGGCAAGCAGUUUCACAUCUAUAAAUAGUCAUACUACAAAUAACAGUUAGCAUCGGACUAUUAACAUAUGCAAAGGCCUGCAAAGUUAUCGGAGGAAGAAUACAACAGAGAGGCCAGGCAUCAAUGCACGAUUACUUCCAUUUAACAGACUUCUUGUUCUGUUCUUCCCAAGGCCUGAUUUAUGCAUGACACAGGGCAAUGCCAAAAUGCUUACCCAUGUAAAUGUUUCACACAUGCCUUGACACAUUUAAAUGCAUCUGCAAUAUGCACCAUUUGUUUGCAUGAAGUGCUAAUAGCAUGACAUCAGCAUGCCCAUCUGGGUCCCCAUCACCAGCAGGCUAAUACUGCAUGGCAAUGGGCUGCCAUUUGUGAUGGCGAACUCCCUUGUGAUAUAGGCAGAAGUUAAGGAGUCCAGUGUGGUUGCAUAUGAAUUGCAACAAGAUACCAUUUGGCAAACGGUUGUCUUUAUUCUCGCUGAAAGAAAUGUUAAAGUAAUGAGAGAAAAUAUUUAUGGACCCGUAGAGGGAGAAAGAGAGAAACAUGUAAAUGAAUCCAGAGUAUGACCCAUUCCACUUCCUAGAGGCAAAGCACAAUGGAGAGAAGAGAAUUAUGGGAUCUCUUUACAGGAAUCCACUGAACAUACAUCUUUGAAUGGGGAAAUGGAACAUAUAGUGAGUUGGGAACAGUCUUGGUCAUAAAAACAUGCCUAACUCAAGUCCAACUGGUUUCACAGUAGGCCGAUUGAAAACACAACUAAAUCCAGAUACAAUUCAACCUGUAGGAAGCGUAGAAAUAAGGCAUGCCCUCCUGAAUGGUGCUUAUAUACCGUAUUUUUCGCCCUAUAGGGCGCACCGGCUCAUAGGGUGCACUUAUUUUUUGGGGGGGGGAAAUAAAGGGGGGGAAAUUAUUUCCCCCCCAAGCUCCAAAGAGCAAAGAAGCCAUGACAGCGAGCGGGAUGGAUCCCGCUAGCUGUCCUGGCUUCGUUUUUAGCCUCGGGGCUGGGGGUCCGGGAGCAAAGGCAAGGUUGUGCAACCUCGCCAUCGCUCCUGGAGCUUGCGGAGCUGGGGGUGGGGGAAGCCCGGGUCCGGGAGCGAUGGCGAGGUAAGUACCAUGCUGUUUGCCUGUGCCCCUGUGAGUUCAGAAAGGGGAUUGAGGGUGGAAUUCAGUGUAGCACUGGGGGGGGGGGAAUAAGGCCCGCUCGUGUAACAGGACUUCCGCCUCUCCUCCUCCCACACCCCACACUACCUAAGCCUAUUCUGAGGCCUCCCCCAACCCUCCAGAGCAGAGUUAGGGAAUGCAGGGGAUGAUGAAGUCCUAUUGCAUGAGCAGACCUCAUUCCACACACAUAUCAACUGGAGUUUGUGUGUGAGAGAGAAGCAGGAUUGGGGAGGGGGGAGAAUCUGGGCUUUAUUUCUUCAAAAUGGGCCUCUGAAUCCCAAAAGGACUUCUGCAGAAGGAGAGAACCUGAUGCAAAUAUCAUUGCAUAUUGCCUGUCUCUGCAUCUCCGUUGUCUUAGGAUUGAUGUGCAUGUUUGUGGACCACUGGCAGAGGAAGAGGAGUGCGGGGGGAGUGCACCGCCCCCGGCAGCACGAUCCCGGUGGGGUGCCAUUGCAGCUACACCCCCGCCCACGCUGGGUGCCACAGCCCCGCAGGCGGCGUGCCACACUCCCAGGAUGCACGCCAGACCCAACCCUGCUUGCUUUCUGCCCCUCCCCCAGCGCCGGAGCAUGAAGCUCCGCCACUGUUGUGGACAUCACAUAAUAUCUCAUCAUUUGCACUUGGAGGCAAUGUCAGGUGAUAUGGAAGCAGAUGAUAUGUGAUGGCUCUUUAUUUACAAAUGCCAUCACUUCAUAAUACAAUCCGGAUGUCCAUGUGCCAACUCAUCCUUGCAUUCCCUGCCUCAUAGCUUUGCUUUCUGACUUUCAUGAUGUGCAGGCUGCUCAGUAUGUUCAGAAGCAGAAACUUAAGCCUGCCAAGUUGCUUCUCUACUACUACCUAAUAUAGCUACACCUUUUUUGGGGGGGCUUUUUGAGCUGCUUUGCUAUCCUCUUCCUGUCCCUGCCAUGAUGCAUGCAUUGCACACUUUAUGGAUCAUCACUGGUCAUUUAAUGACUUACUUUCCUCGCAGUGGGUGGUGGUCAUCUGUAGCCACUGGUAAAAGCAAACAUUAUCCCACCCCAUCCCUUCCCCCUUCACAUCACGGCCAGAAACGACAGACGAUCACCUCUCUAUGCAAUCAGAGCCUCCACAUGGUAUGUUUUAAAGUGGCCACUUCAUGACUGGCUGUCAUCGGAUUCCACUUGCAGUCACUGGGAGACUUUGUUUCAAGAAGAGCACAAAAACUAUCACAAGACCUGUCUUGUUUUCAGGCAAGCAACAGAAAUCUGUAGGCACGGGUUUAAGUCCUGGCUAAUGUGCCUGUGAUGCUUGCCUGUGCAGAGGGGCCAUCUUUGUACAAUAUGGGGCUUCCCCUCCCCUUCUUAGGCACGAUUCUGCUUUUUAUUAGCGCAAACUGGCAAUGAAGGAGAUGGGGAUGGUGUGUUGUGAGUUACUGGGGCGAGGGAAGGGAGAGCUGGUGCUAGUUCCUUCUUUAAUGAAAACCAGCUUUUCCAAAAACAGAAAAGACCUUGAUAAACCUCCUGGCUUCCUGCUAGGGGGUUUAUUCACCCUUCCUCUUGGAUCAAGCACCAGUUUUGGCUGGGAUCUUGUUUUAAGACUUUCCACCUUAGGUAAUUUAUUUCGUUCACCACGGAGAAUAACUUUAGGGCAAACAAAAGGAUUUGUGCUUUACUGGUUGAUCCAGUAUGGACCACACAUAUAUUUGGAUGCUGUUAUUGAACAUAACAUAUACCUUCCACCCAAUAACCAAGCACCAUAGGAUUUAUCAGCAGUGUAAUGACCAGUGAUGCAUAGAAGGGCAUCUCAAGGACAACAAGAAGCAUAGCCAUGGUCCCUUGGCUGCAUGCUAUUAUUUGUAAUUAUUUUAGGAAAUUAUUUACAUAGUAUCUACAGUUAUCUGCAGUGGAAGAAGUGGAGCAUUAUUACACUGCUCAAGCAGCAGGUAGGGGGGAAACUGACUGAUGCCAGUGGCAUUUGCCCACAUGCAUGUUGGAUGGCUACAAGUUGAUGACUUAUCACUUCCAAUACCUGCGGUUUCCUUUGAUGCCUUCUAGGUGACCCAGAAUGAAAUCAGCCUGGCUAUUAAAAGCAAUGGGCUGGCACAAUAAUACUAGGUUAGGUUGUAAGCCAAAUCCGGUCACACUGUUCUGUAACUCUGCCAUGUCAGUAUAGGAAUAGCUUCUGAGCAUGAAAUUCUAAUUCUUAAAAUUAUUAUUGUGGACAUUUUAAACAGGGCCAAAGUAGACAUGGCAAGCAAGCACAGAAAACAGCAACUAUGUGUCUAGUUCCCCUCUCCCCUUCUUUUCUAUAACACACCCUGGUCAGCAAACUUUUUCAGCAGUCCACUGUCCCUCAGACCUUGUGGGGGGCCAGGUUAUAUUUGGGGGGGGGGGGAUGAACAAAUUCCUAUGCACCACAAAUAACCCAGAGAUGCAUUUUAAAUAAAAGGACACAUUCUACUCAUGUAAAAACAUGCUGAUUCCCGGACCGUCCGUGGGCCGGAUUGAGAAGGCGAUCUGGCCCAUGGGCCUUAGUUUGCCUACCCCUGAUCUAGUAGAUAAGACCCCAUACUGCAAUAUCAGGACAGUCUGUGUAUUUUGACCCAAGCCUCCCUCACAUGGUUGGCAGUCUGAGAUGGGAAUGGAGUAGAUGCAGAAGACACAGAAAGCCAUGACAUCAUGACAUGAAGUAAGCUCUGUGAUGAUCUUGACUUGUAUUGACCUAAUGGCCAGGCAUCCAUUUUUACCAGUCCCUGACUCUCCCAAUGACAACACUAUAGUGCCAGUGGAAUAUUGGUUCUAGUCUUCUUCUCUGCAAAUUUGUGAUCUUCUGGAGAAACACACACUGAAACUUUCUGGGUGUUUCCCAUUAUUUUUUUUUAUUAAUGUGUUCCCAGGGUGAAAUUACCCAGCCAUGGGGUAUGAGUAAUUCCUGGCCAGGCUGACCCAGAGAUGAUAAUUUGGCCUUCUUCCUGAUACCUUCUUUAGUAUGGAGAUUGGGAAACCAUAUUAGUAUAGGCAUUCCUGAUUGGCUUUUUACAAGCCCCGCCUUGGAGAGAUUGGUUGGUCUGUGUCACAGGGAAUGGGUAAUGCCCUCUUCUCCAUCCUGAAUAUUCUGAGGUUUAAAAAGAGUCAGGAUAGUUCCCCAUCUCUCUUCUGGCUUCCUGGUUUCUGUGUCAAACAUAUUGGGCUGGUGCUUCUUCGGAGCCCAGGGAACAUGUGCCUGUUGCCAUUUCAAAGUGGCCUGAAACAAAGACUCUCAGCACGUGUAUGUAAGUUUUGGCCUCUGUUUGAUAUUCCCAUAUCUAGGCUAGGAAGGCAUCACAUAAGCAUUUUUGUAUUUAGUUAGCAUAGAAUUGUAGAGUUGGAUAUAUUUAAGUUACUUUAUCUGCUUCUUUUCCAUAGUAAGCUACCUUUCUUUUUAAUAAGAGUUUGGUCUAAGAAAGGAUUCUGUUUUCAGCUGUGUUUAAUGAAAAAGUCUACCUGGAUUGUUAGGCUAUGUACUUUCAUGGAGAGGGUUUCAUGCCCAGAUUAGCAAAGUGAGCUUGGCUUGGGCAUGCAAGUGGCUCCCAGGUCUUAAAGCAGGUCUUCCCCCGGAGCUUGUGUUUACUUUCUAGUUAGCAUGAACUAUGUUGUUGUUGGUAGUAAUGAAAUAUCUGCCCAUGUUGCGAAAUACCCAUGUUGCUAAAUUACAUUGAAGUAUGGCAUGGACGCAGUGUUUUCCUCCUUCACAAAUUCUAGCACAUAGGUUAACUGCAGUUACAAAAGGGUAGAAAACCUUGACAAGUUCUACAUUAUGGAGUAGGAAGGGGUAACUAUACACUUGGCAUAUGUUUCUGGUGACAGCCAACCACCCCACUAUAAUCUGUUAUAUAGUUUGGCCCACAGUGGGAAAAAGCCCAUUAAGACCAUGGCAUUGAAGUUUCCAGUGUGGAGCAGGGGGCUUAAUGUUAGCAACUGUAUUAGCAACUUAAAGUUUCACUGCAAACAGCCCUAGGUGAUCUAUAUAAAAGCCUUAAAUGUAAAUAAAAUAGAAAGAUGAGGUAAUCCUGGCCUUUUAAUUUCUUAGGCCAAGUAGAGUUGGCAAAAAAGGACAUAAGUAAUGGAGAAAUGACUGGGCGGGAAACUGACGUGUUUUCUGUCACCCAUCUCUUUCUAGUAUUGAUACCACCAUGAUACAAAGUACUUCAAGUCUUGUUUUGGGAGGCUGGAAUAAGCCUAUGGGGGCUUUCGGUGCAUUUUGAAUGACUGGACGGGGUUCUCUUUUCUGCUGGGAAACAUUGUGUGGAAGAGAAAAAGGGCAAAGUGAAUCAACUCGUAAGGCAGAAGCAUGCAUUGGGGAGAGGGAGAGAGAGAGAUGGCAAAUUUAAGAUGAGAAAAGAACUUUGAGAAAAUGAGGCUGCAAAUGGGGAGAGGGAGAGGAAAGAUGGAUAAUGGCUCGAGUGUAUCUUGCCCAGCUGGAAUGGUCUGAAGGGCUAUCUGUCUUGCCUUUUUAUUGUUUACUGCAGUGGAAAAUCAGGGUUAAUAGUACAAACAGGAAUAGUACAAAGAGGAACAGCACGUUCCAUGAGGAAAUCUAGAGAUGGUUAUCCAAACCUGACAACUGCCUAAGAGGCAUCGCAGGGGAGGCAGCCCUCAGCGCUGCUGCCGUGGGCAGUUCAGGUAGACACACACAAUUGCCUCUUGCAGAAUGGAUAGCAGAGGAGAGAGAUGCCCAGUGGGAAGCAAAGCGGGGUGGUCUGUUCGGCUAGGGAGCCCUGAACUACAACUUGGGGCUAUUUUGCGGUGACCUGGUGGAGUCUUUCUGAGCUUUUCUUUUCCUACCUCGUACUCUUUUCCAUUCUAAACUAUGAACUCCCUGUGGGCACAACAAAUGUGUUACUAUGUGUUUGCAUAGCUUCUCAUAUUAUGGUGACCUAAUCUCCACUGGGGCGUCUAGGCAUGACUAUAAUAAUAAAGGAUAAUAAAGGAAGAAUGCCACAAUAGAAAAAGGAAAGGAAGGAGGGCAGGGUAAAACAAGUAGUGGGCUUGGGGGCUGCAGAAAAGUAAGCAAGAAAGAUUUCAUGGGAAUAUUUGACUUUGAAUGUAUGCAAACCAAAUGCAGACUCUCAAGGAUACAAGCCUUUUAGGAAUAGUGCUUGUGCAUAUGACAAAGAGGUUUGCAGCUUGUAAAAUUCUACUUCCCUCUCCAACUGUUAAAUCUGUCAAGUUUCACACGCGCAAAAUUUGAAAGCAUUUCUACACAAUUGUACAGGUUUAUCAUGAGUCCCUUUCAGUCCCAGCAGCAACGGCAGCCUGCACCUUUGUUCUCCAAAGUACUGCCUCCCCCUUUCCUUCCCCAAACCUUCACAUUUUCAGUGGCUGACCUGCCAACACACUGAGCCAAGGAAUUUGGUUGAUGAUGGACCAGUUCUGUCUAAGUGGUUUGCAUCUCUGUUGUUGUACGGUGCCAUAGUUAUUGCUUUCUCCCAUCCAUUGCUGUCCAUCAGCCAAAAUGUUACAUUCUACUAUGAUCUUCGGCCAUAUCCUCACUUCCAGUAACUGCAGCCUUGGCAUGACCUAAGAAAAUAGAAUUGUGAGGUCAAUCGAGCUUCACAGUUCAGGAACAGUAUGACCCAGCAAGACCUUUGCUAGCAGACAAGAGCACAACGAUAAUGGUCAUUGUGUUCUACCACUAGCUGAAUCCUACCACCUUGGCUUCAUCUCAAAAUAACAAUGUGGUGCACAUCAUCCAGUGGCAGUUGUGAAGUCGCUGCACAUCUGCCCCAUGUAAAAAAAAUCAGCAUAGAAAUAUGCUAAAUGUUAAAGGGCUAGAAGUGUUAACGGAGAAACCGCUAUUGUGACAGCAGCUCCUGUGUGCUGAAUCUUUUCAUGGCCACACUGUGACUUACAGUGAAAUAUCUUCUGAUUAGUUCUUAGAGCAUCAGGAGAGAGAGAGAGAGAGAGAGAGAGAGAGAGAGAGAGAGAGAGAGAUGGGUGGUUGAGGAAGAGGUGGCAGCUAGUAGCAUGCCCCUACCAUCAAUUUCAGUUGUCUGGAGAGUCUAAUUCUAGUGACUUUGGGUCUCAGCUGCAAAGUCUCUUGUUCAAAACUGGCACCUGUUGUGAACUUAAGGACAAAUGAGAAGCCCUACCAGAUCAGGCCACAUGCCCAUCUAGUCCAGCAUCGUGUUCUUAGCGAUGUCAAUAAGAUGCCUCUGGGAAUCCCGCAAGAAGGAUUUGAGUUCAAUAGCGCUCACCACUUCUUAGCAGGGGUACCAUUCAAGAAUGGCAAGUGAGACCACUGACCCCUCCUACCUGUCUUUCAAACCUCAUAACUAUUUCUCAAAAGUGUUGCAAGGCAUAAAAAGUAACUGCCACAAGUAUUGCUAAAACGUGCUCCCCCUUUUUUUUGCGGCAAUUCCAUACCUGUCUAUAUAAGUAUUACUGUGGAUCUGUUCUUACUACACUAGUCCUCAAUGUGAGAGUCACAUAGCUUGUAGUCUCAAACUUCUUUAACCACCUGUGCAUUUAUUGAUAAUUUUCUGCUGUAAACAGUGGUUAGCAUGUUGCUUGCAUUUAACCUCCCACCCCACCAAUGGAAUUUUUCCUUGCACAGUGUCCCUCCUACGAUUGCAUUAAUGAUAUCUAGUCACCAUUUGUGCCUUGCCUAGAGGAAUAAUACUCAGAUCACCCUAUCCCCCCCCCCCCCCGUUCUUAUCCUGCUGUUCCUUGCCUGUAGGCACAUCUGGUCUAGUGUUCCUUGCUUGCUCCUGAGAAGACCUGUUUGUGGCACAUGAUAAUCUGGAUGAGUAACGUUAAAUUGUAAGAGAAGAGAAAGUGUGGCAUGGGCAUGCCUGGGCAGGGCAGCAUUGUUUUUAUUUCAUGUAACAAAAUGUAUAUAACGCAUGAUUAUAAGGAAACCUCUGAGUAGUUUACAAGCUAAUUGUGGACAUCUCUGUCUGGCCUCAUAAUACUCCGAGAACGUUGUUUAACCUCUUCCCCUCCCAAUUUUGCUGGCAAAUCAGAAAGCUUGUGCAUUCCUUACCUUAGAGUCAGAAUGUGUGUGUUUAUAUGUGUGUGGUGGGGAAGGGGGAGGGUGUAUAGUUAGUGGCUGUUGGGAGAGCCACACAUAUGGAACAAGUUAUUUAUUAUUUGUUAAGGUUCUAUUUGUGCUUGCAUACAGCAUAUUAGUUACAUUUUGGGCUCUUCUACAAUUUAUUGCAUAAAUGUAGUUGAGUAAGACAAGGUUUCCUAAAGGCAAUGCCAUUUGUCCAACACACUUGUGCAAUAGACCUCCUGGAGUCUUUGUCAACUUUUAUCCUUUUAACACACUGAAUCUGCACAAAUACAUAAGGCUGUGUGUUUUACAAACUUCUUGCUUCCCUUUGGAAGCCACAAAGAAGAAGAGUAGGGUGUGAUGAGCCCAGGAUGCCGGGGUGUUUUUCUGGGCGUUUGCCCCCCUGGUAUAGGGGAUGAUUUGGUCAGAGGCCCCUUGAUUUGGGGCAGAUCAUGCACCUGGCUCCCUCACUCCCACUGAAAUCAGUGGCACUUUAAUGUGUCUUGCUGGCUGAAUUGCCAUUUUAGGUGUGACCUGCAUGUUGCACAGCAGGCAACCUUGAGUAAGGAAGCCUUGAUAGCAAAGAUGCCAUCAGGAGGAUGUGAUUGACCACAAAGAAAUGAUGGAAACUUUAAAGAGUGCUUAACUCUUCCCAUGCCAGUCUUUUGUCUCUUGCGGUUUCCCUUCACCUCAGGUGCUCUUACACAUUUAGAUCUGUGUUUGUGAGGAUAAUCCAGCAAGCAGGGGAGAAGAUGAAUUGGAGGUCUGUAUAGUUAAAGCUAUGGUUUUCCCAGUAGUGAUGUAUGGAAGUGAGAGCUGGACCAUAAAGAAGGCUGAUCGCCAAAGAAUUGAUGCUUUUGAAUUAUGGUGCUGGAAGAGACUCUUGAGAGUCCCAUGGACUGCAAGAAGAUCAAAUGCAUCCAUUCUGAAGGAAAUCAGCCCUGAGUGCUCACUGGAAGGACAGAUCGUGAAGCUGAGGCUCCAAUACUUUGGCCACCUCAUGAGAAGAGAAGACUCCUGGAAAGGACCCUGAUGUUGGGAAAGAUGGAGGGCACAAGGAGAAGGGGACGACAGAGGACGAGGUGGUUGGACAGUGUUCUCGAAGCUACCAGCAUGAGUUUGACCAAACUGCGGGAGGCAGUGGAAGACAGGAGUGCCUGGCGUGCUCUGGUCCAUGGGGUCAUGAAGAGUCGGACACGACUAAACGACUAAACAACAACACUUGGAGUCACAGUGAAGCACGGGGACUUUGAUCUGCAAUUCUUAGUCUUGUCACAUGAAGCAGCAGGAUGCAGUCCCAAAGGUUCCCAUUUCUGGAGUAGGUGGAAUCUUUCUUGAUCCUGUCAUUAUACCAACUUUGGUAACCCAAAAUUCCUAGUUACCCAAACUGCCCCUGUGCCCACUAUACUUUCAACUGUUGUUGACUGAGCCUUCAUUAAUCUGAUUUGUUGGUUAUCUAAAUAUCUUUGGCAUUACACCCCCACCCCUUUCUCUGCCCAGCACAUAAAUGAGGUUGCAUUGUAUCGUCCCUUCUAGCUAAUUAGCUGUUGGUAUUGGAAUUAAACAGCUAUCAUUAACGAAAAACAGAGGCCAGGCUAUUUCCUGGCAUAAAUUGAUUUGGUAUGGAGUUGAACAGCUGAGUGAGACACCAAAACAGGAAACAUAUUUUUAUGAAUUGUUCUCUCUCUCUCUCUCUCUCUCUCUCUCUCUCUCUCUCUCUCUCUCUCUCUUGUUUUGCUUCUUGUCAAAGAAGAAAAAAAGAAAUUCCCGAGGAGUAAAGAAUAAGGACAAAAGCAUUUUCAAAGUGUUUGUUAGAUUUUGGAAGACUCAAGUUGUUUUUGUUUACUGUGUGAGGUUCAUCCCCCUCCCAGUUUCCCGUUCUCUGCCUUUGGGGCAUGCAUUCCAAACCAGGAGGGAGCCCACAAAAGGAAUGGUCUUUCUUGUAUCACUCCCUCCUUGUGACAGCAAAGAAGUGAGUAAGCAUGGGAGCCAAAAUGGGAGAGGGCAAAGGAGGAGACAGCAUCAACCAAAGGGUGCAGAGCUACUCAUACUUUUGCAGAAAUAUAGGGCAGAGGGUCAAAAUGACCUGUACCUCACCCCCCCCCCAAAAAAACCCAGAUGGGCUAAGAAACUUCAUGCUACCUGGAUCAUUGGAAGCAGAGAGCUGUGCACAGGUGCAAAUUCUCAGCUGGGUGAGGCUGGGGAGUGAGGCAGAAGAAAGGAAGUAAGUGAUAUAACUAGGAUCUAAGAGAAGAAGGAAUCAGCCUCUAAGGACAUGCACUGUCAGACGCACAUCCUCCAAGCUCACUUCCUAUCUCUGAAAGGGACUUCUAAUUAAGCUGUGAGAGUGAUGGUCCCCCCCCCAACAACUUAAUGGAUUGCAGGGCAGGAAGAUAUAGCCAUGCAGGGCAUUAAUCUUCAGUGACAUGAUACGCAUCUUGCAAAGUAAAAGAGUAUAGUAGACAGCCUAUGUGCAGUUCUCUAAAUAAGCUCUUCUCUCCCUUUGAUUCACGACCCAGUUUGUUUGCUACAGCCCAGUCUCGGUUAGUGAACAAAUAGAAAACAGUAUGAAAUUUCUGCAGACAGUUAGCAUAGAAGGUUGAAACACUGUAUUCUGGACACUAUCAUUUCAGGGUUGCAGAAAAGAAGCAAUGCUGAUGGAUCUAUUCUAGUGCUCUCUCUGUGUAUGUAUGUGGAGUGGUGGGGCAUGGAGGUUCAGACAGAUUGCCAUAUGGCCAGGAAUUGCACCCCCCCCUCCAGGUACAUGCAUACUGGACUGAGUCUAGAAGACCCUGUCAGCAGUAAGAUUCAUGCAUUAAGGUUCAAGGACCUACUCAGGUGGAAUUUACACACAUAUAAAAAAAUGCUGUGAAAAUGUGGUUUUUUUUAAAAAAAAACACUUUGAAAAAUACAUUGGAUUCUGCAUAGCUCCCUGCCGCCAUCUAGUGUCACAUUUGUAUAUUGCACUUUACAACAUGUUUAAAACGUUUUAUUUGCAGCGAUGUAGCUGAGUCCUCAGUUUAAUUCAUAGAAUCAUAGAAUCAUAGAGUUGGAAGAGACCACAAGGGCCAUCGAGUCCAACCCCCUGCCAAGCAGGAAACACCAUCAGAACACUCCUGACAUAUGGUUGUCAAGCCUCUGCUUAAAGACCUCCAAAGAAGGAGACUCCACCACACUCCUUGGCAGCAAAUUCCACUGUCGAACAGCUCUUACUGUCAGGAAGUUCUUCCUAAUGUUUAGGUGGAAUCUUCUUUCUUGUAGUUUGGAUCCAUUGCUCCGUGUCCGCUUCUCUGGAGCAGCAGAAAACAACCUUUCUCCCUCCUCUAUGUGACAUCCUUUUAUAUAUUUGAACAUGGCUAUCAUAUCACCCCUUAACCUCCUCUUCUCCAGGCUAAACAUGCCCAGCUCUCUUAGCCGUUCCUCAUAAGGCAUCGUUUCCAGGCCUUUGACCAUUUUGGUUGCCCUCCUCUGGACACGUUCCAGUUUGUCAAUGUCCUUCUUGAACUGUGGUGCCCAGAACUGGACACAGUACUCCAGGUGAGGUCUGACCAGAGCAGAAUACAGUGGCACUAUUACUUCCCUUGAUCUAGAUGCUAUACUCCUAUUGAUGCAGCCCAGAAUUGCAUUGGCUUUUUUAGCUGCCGCGUCACACUGUUGGCUCAUGUCAAGUUUGUGGUCAACCAAGACUCCUAGAUCCUUUUCACAUGUACUGCCCUCAAGCCAGGUGUCCCCCAUCUUGUAUUUGUGCCUCUCAUUUUUUUUGCCCAAGUGCAAUACUUUACAUUUCUCCCUGUUAAAAUUCAUCUUGUUUGUUUUGGCCCAGUUCUCUAAUCUGUCAAGGUCGUAAUUUGAGACAACAUUUUUAUUUGGGGAGCAUUAUGUGUAAAAUACUUUUAAUACUUCAUAAUAAUAUGCAGAUAUAUAGGUGUUCCUGAGGAUUAACCACAUUUUGCUUGUAUAGAACUUCCUUCUGCCUUCCUUUAAGAGGUGGUUCUGCUAACCCAAAUUAGAAACUCAUGCAAACAGUCCAUUUGAGUGAGCAAUGGAGUAAUUCAGGGGAACGGGUGAUGACAGCAUGUGUUCCCUGUAUUAGAAAAAUCAAAAGGUAUUUUUUUCUAAUCAUAGAAACAGUCGGUUCACCAUGAUCUUCCACUUUGGAUGUUAAUUGACAUUGGUUAACCCUUUCCCAUGUGGGCUAUUUUUCCUAAUCAAUACCUCCACCCCUCCCCAUUGCUUACCCACUGAAAUAUAUGGACUCAGUUUCCACCAUUGCAUGGCAUGGCAGUUGGAUAGAGGAGAUUAUCAUAGCUUGAGGGGAAAGGAUUGAGUAGUCCUUUCCCCUGUAGCUCCAAUCAGAUUUGCAGCUGCCCAUGGCCAUAGUUAAAUAAACAAUACAAAGCAAAACAAACAACAACAAACAGCUGAAAGACCGUGCAGUAGGUUAGGACUUACGCCACAGUUAGCAUUUGAUUGCAAGCUGUGACCCAUAUGACUGGCUCUUUAAUUGGAACCUUUGUCAAGGUUCACAUUCCCUCAAGGACCGCAUAACAGUGGUGUGUGUAGCAAACAUUGGUACAACCACACACACAAACCAACCCCUACCCUCCGUGCAGGCAAGCAAGGUAUAUUAUUACAGUUCCAGGACACAUCCCAAUUAGGUAAAAGCACAAAAGGACUAGGGCCAGUGAGGGUUGUGGCCUGGGAGGGUCUGGCCAGCACAGAGUUUUGAGGGCUGGAUAGAGAAGCUGGGUUGUGGGGGGGGGGCACAUUUGCCUGCCGGGCCUGAGGUUCUCCACUCCUCCUAUAGGGAAAAGCCUUUUCAAGGGGAGCAAGCAGACACUGUGUACCCCAGCGGGGCACACACAAUGUUUGUAUGCAUUCAGAAAAUGGCUACAGAAAAAACUAUGGGUAGGGCAAGGAUCCCACACCCCUCGGCCCUGAAUACUUCCCUAAGGCACCAUCUGCACGAUACAUUUAAGGCAGGAGUACCACACCGCUUUGGACAGUAUUGGCUUCUAGGAACAGUACUUUGUUAAGAGUGAUGACAGUACUUUGUUAAGAGUGAUCACACAGCUACAAUUCUCAGAGUGGCUUAACAGUCAUUUUUUGUUUCCAGAGAAUUCUGGAAAUUGUAGCUCUCUGAGAGGAAUAGGGAACCAUCAGCAGUCUUAGCAAAACUACAAUUCACAGAAUUCUUUGUUGGAAGCGAUGACUAUUUAAAGUCGUAUGACACCGCUUUAAAGUUAUCGUGCAGAUGGGACCUAAAUUAUGAGCAGCUGUCCUUAACAGAAGCAUCUGUUAGGGUUUUGUUAGUGCAUUAGAAUAAUGUGUGGUUCCACCCCCUCCCAUUCAUAAGAUUGUUUUAAUGGAGUUUCCUCUGCAGUGACAUCCACACUGCUUACUCGUUUAGAUUUUAGAAAGGAGGGCAAGACCUCGGGAAAGCUUUUUAAUGAGCAAUUCAUUGCCAGAGUAGAGUUCAGUUUUUAAAAAAGAAAGUUAUUUAAGGACAACUGAUCUUCAUAGUGUUGAUCUGAUUGCUUCUAUUAUUCACUGCUUUAGAUUUUUGUAAGAAAUAUAAAAAUACAUAAACAUAUAUACCAAAACAAUUUUGUUAAAAACCCACACCAUAUUUAAUUCAGGAAAGUGUGAAUGAUGGAAGUAAAAAACUAAAAACAAAAGUAGGAAAGGGUGGAAGUAUAUUGCAAAUCUUCCAGAAUCCCCCCAGAUAGGCAUACAGCUACCCUAUUUUGCUGUUAUUCCAGUGAAUACUGACAGUCACUGUAAAGUAACCAUCUGUUUUUUCUGAUGUGUCUCUGAGUUCCUUGAGGUUCAGAAAAUUUAUUUGAGAUCACGGCCGUAGCUAGGGGGUGGAGAGGUGGGCCCCCACUAGGGGUGCAGGGGGGUGGGAGGAGCAAAAUCGGCUAAAAAUAUGUCCAUAAAUAUGUCUGUAAAUAAAAAAUAUUGAUUAUUGCCUCAUAAGAAAAGGUUUUAAAUUGAGGGUGAAUUGAAUGGGGGGGGCGGUUGGAGGAGAGGCAGAAGGAAGAGCUAACUUGUCCGUGGCUAAGGGGCGCAAUCUGGACGGUUCUGCCAGGAGCACAAUAUCAUCUAGUUAUGGCUCUGUUUGAGAUGUCCAUUAAGUACUUUUCAGGCUUUCUUCCAUCACACAGUUAUAACUAUAUAAUCAUAAUCAUGUGGGGGGGGAGUGGGACUGUGCUCCCUGGCCCCACCCUCAGCAUUGCAUCCUUGCUACCUCUCAUGGUUCACAUGUUUGGUGAGGGGGGGCAUACGUAUUGGGUGUGUGAUUAGGUUUCUAAAUCACACAGGGAGUCUCUGCAUGUAUGCUGUGUGUGGCCCUGCUCUCUCCCUCAUGCAGCUGUAAUUGUGUGAAUACCCAAAUAGGGCUUCAGUGGUCCAGGGAACUGGAAAGUAGGACAUGAGCUAUGGACUAUUGGAAGGAAGGAAGUGGGCAGGCCAGGGAUAUAUCGAAGAUGAGAGACUGUGGGCCAAAGAGUUAUGAAACACAGUCUCUAGACCCUGACAGGAGAAUCCUGCCAUUUGUAUGUUUGAUAGUUAGUUCAGCAUUGCGACCUGGUUAACCUGAAGGCGGCAACAAUGCCAAAUAGUUGUGUUUGCGUUUGAACUAGCCCAUCAAUUCUUUGGCUUCAGGAUUCUAGUAUUUUAAUCAUCUCUUUGACAGUUGCAUAAGGGAAGGAGAGGAUAGGGAAAGUAUAUAUUAUAGCCUAUGAACAAAUGUGCCAAAAUACAAGAGGGCGGCCUUGUCAGAGAAUAAUUUACAGCAGCUGACGUUUGAAAUAUAUUGAAGCAGAAGUUAAAAUUCAAGCUGGGAACUCAGCCCAGAUUUGGUCAUGAAGGGAAUGCCUCAAAAAGUGUCCGGGAAAUGAAGGGAGGCCCAGCAGAGUGAAAUCAAAGUUAACAGACCUUCUUCCUCUAGCCCAGAGCACUGACCAAAGUAGAAGUAAACAGCGCUGAGAAGAUUAGAACAGCCAGGGAAAUAAAUGGGGCACAGCAUUGGACAACAAGGUCUUAACAAGACCACUGGGCAUCAGCUGGCAAAGGCAAGGGUGGUAUAAUAGUGUUGGGAGUCUGGCUGUUGGAGUACUGUGAACGAGUCUGCCACUAUAGUUUCUCCUGAAGUGUCACCUAAUGAAAGUCGGGGAUUUGGCAAAAGAAAGUUAAUGUUUCUUUAAUGGCUGUGGAUGUUUCCUGAAUGGGCAAUCCACCUGCAGGGGGUCUAAGUCUGGGACUUGCACUUAUGCAGAUGUUUUUCAGUGGAGAGGGAGAGACAUGAAUUAGCUGAAACUGGAGUUGCAGCCAUGGUACAAGUUGCUCUCCGGGGACCUGCUGCCUGCUGUAGAAGUGCCUGUUUGUCUCCACUUAUGCUCUGCCAUAUAUUUGUAAAUAAAACAGACAUUACAAAGGCACCUUUAAGUCCGUGCUCUUUUAUCCCCCUCCCUCCAACAUCCUGUAGUGCUGCUUCUGGAACUUCUCAGUGCUUGAGAACAACGCAGUGCUGGUGUUGGCAGUGGCAUAUUUUGUGUCCUUGAAGAGAAACUGUGGGCUUAUAAGUGAGCCAUCCUAAGAUGGAGGAAAUGACAGCUCCAGCUUAAAAGGCAGAAACUCACCCAAAGUCAGUAAAAAGCCUUCCUACCCAGGCCAUGCAUAUUUCUAAUUUUCUUAAUUCUUCACUUUUUUGGCCCCUUGUUGGAAAGCAAUUGUCCCCAUAUUGUAUACUUGUGUCAGCCUUGAAUAUUUGCAUAUAGCUUACUGAUCCCCUGGGUAUGCUGGAACCUCCCUUUUGUUGGUGGAUGGCCCCAUUUGACCAGAAUGGGUUCAUCUGAAUAUGGAAUUAGAGGGAAUGAUUACUCAUAGAAGGGAGUCCAGUCUUUUCCCACCAUCAGCCACCUCAUUUUAUGAGCAACGGUUGAGGGAGUUGGGCAUGUUUGGCCUUGAUAAGAGGAGCCUGAGAGGAGAUAUGAUAGCCAUCUUCAAAUAUCUCAAGGGCUAUCUCACAAAAGAUGAAGCAAACUUGUUUUCUCCUGCUCUGGAGGGUAGGACCUAAAUCAGUGGCUUCAUGUUACAAGAAAGGAGAUUCUAAUUUAACAUCAGGAAGAACUUUCUGACGGUAAGAGCUGUUUGUCAGUGAAAUGAACUCCUUGGACAGUGAUGGACCCUCCUUCAUUGGAAGUUUUAAAGCAGAGGUUGGAUGGCCAUCUGUCAUGGAUGUUUUAGUUGUGAUUCCUACAUUGCAAGGGGUUGGACUAGAUGACCCUUGGGUCCCUUCCAACUCUACAAUUCUAUGAUCACUCAACAAACACUUUAAAGGGCAAAGACAGGAUGAUAUAUAUGUGGCUAGUCACAACUGAUGCAAUACACAUGCAUCAAUGUGUUAGCUAACUAGAAGUUGAUGCGAACUAUUGGGGUAAAUAAACAUUUUCUUUGGGCAGCACAUUCCACUGAAAUUAAUGGGAUCCAGAGUUGCAACUAACUAAACUUAUUUUGCGUGUUGCAAGUUGAAUUGUGUUAUAUGGGGAAGGAUUGUCGCUCAGGGGUAGAACAAAUGCUUUGCAUGCAGAAAUGUCCCAGGGCCCAGGAAACAGUUCUGCAGGCAACAUUGAGCUAGAUAGGCUUAUGGAGUGUUUCCCAACCUUGGGUCUCCAGCUGUUUUUGAACUACAGUUCCUAUCAUCCCUGGCCACUGGUCCUGCUAGCUAGGGAUGAUGGGAGUUGUAGUCCAAAACAGCUGGAGAUCCAAGGUUGGGAAACACUAGGCUAAUGGACUGACUCUGCAUGAAACAGCUGCCUAGGUUCUAAUAUAUGAGAUCGCCUUUAUAUAUUGAUGGGAUAGAUGAAAUGCUGAAUAAGCUCAAAAAGUGGAAAAGAACUCCUGUUAAAAUCAAGCUUUUGUCUCAACUCUUCAUUCUUUCUACCCCAAGAUAUAUUACUAUGAAAAUAACACAGCAAGAUUCAUUUCUGGAAUGCAGAGGCAAGGUGGACAAAUUCCAGCUAACACCCGUUACCUGUGAUUGACACUGGCCCAUUACAGUGGACAACACAGUCAACUCCCAGAGUUUCCUACCCCAUAGAUCUUAAACAAACGCUCUGCUUUGGUAAAUCUUCAUUACAAUUAUGGAAACAACCCACAACCCAGAAGCACUAAUGAGAAGCUCUCAAGAUGGAAUUUGAGCAAUGUAUCUUUGUAUAUCCUGACAUUUGAUAUUGUAACCCUGAAAUGUGAAGCAGUGUACGGGUAACCCCAAUGUGGGCUGAAGAGUGAGUCAUUUCACAAGGGGAGACAACAUUGUUUAUAAAUCAUUGUUUCUUUGAAGUAGAAAAAAAUGAAGAAAGAAUCCCCUAGACAGAAUUAUGAUUAACCAUCUAAUUGUUCUGCUGGUAUGCUUGCUUUAGGGCUUUCCUUUGCUCCAUGCACAUAAAGAAUUUGUUUCUCAACUUGCCAUCCUUGCACCCAGAUGAUAGUCAUUAAGAAAGGGGCCAACUGAGCAGUUGUAUAUUUGUAAUCCCAACACUCUCAGUCCUGUUUUCUUCAUCUUAUUCAGCUGAAUCUAAUACUGGAGCAAUGAGCUCCAGGAGUUGCUCUGAUAUAUGUUCUUCAACUGUUCCACCUUACCAGCCCUGGCUGUGGAUAAGAAAACACUAUAUGCUUUGGAGGAAGAUCCUGUGGAGCUAGUGGUUCAGUUGUUGUUAUCUUGGACCAUGGACAACAGGCGCUCUGGUUUGCCCCCAUGAUGGAAGGGGCCAGCGUCGCAUGCAGGCCUCACGUCACACACACGUGCCACAAGAUGUGCUGAUGUGUCACGUGCACACUGUGCGGCUUGAGCAUGUGACAUGUGCAUGUUGUGUGACAUGCGCUAGUGACAUGAGCACGUCACAUGGCGUAUGCACACGGCAUAUGCAUGGCGCUGCAGGAUAUUCAGGGGGCCCAACCCCCUCCUUGAUUUUUUUGGGGGGCCAAGGCCCCUCGUCCACCACCCCCCCGGUGCCCCUGAUGGACAACAUGAUUUAAGGGGACGUAGUUGUGGUGACAGCGCGGGUGGCGCUGUGGUCUAAACCACAGAGCCUAGGGCUUGCCAAUCAGAAGGUCGGCGGUUUGAAUCCCCGUGACAGGGUGACCUCCCGUUGCUCCCAGAUCUGGCCCCCGUGCCUUAGUUUGCCUACCCAUGCUGUAGCCCAUUGUUUUGAAAUAUGCCCACACAUCCAUAUUACAGUCCCUCAGAACUGAAGAGCAGGGCAUUAUAUAAUUAAAUCAUAAAUUUAAAAAUACAUAUUGACUAAAGAGCAUAGUGCAGCUGCAACAGUUUUUCCUUUCCUACUGUCCUUUGACUACCCUUUACUAUUUUUGGCAUUUGUGGGGACAUUUAGGACAUAGUGAAUGUGAUAAGCCUGUGGAGUUCAUGGAGUGAAGCCAUGGCUGGCCAGAGAUGGGAUCCAUGUGUGCCCGACAUCACCAAUGUGGUGACAAGGGAGUGACUCCAACACCACCACACAUGUUUUGCUUAAAGAUCAAAAGAGACAGUGCGUACACUGAAGAAAAUGACCAGAAUCUCAGGAGCAGAGUAAAAGAAUCCAAAAAGCUUGGAGUAAAAGGAGAAACUAUGGGCUAGGUAAAAUCCAGCAAAACCAACAGAUAGUUCUGGAAAUCAUUUUAUGAAGGUGUCCUGAAUUACUUAUUACAUAACAUUAAUUCUGCAGGGGAGCUAAUAACACAAGUUUUUCUUUUUUUUAUUAUUCCAAUAAGGAUAAUAAUCUGCAUUGCCUUCUUUCCUCAGUUCAGUUUAGUAGUAAGCAAACCCUUCUCAGCUUAAUUAGGAAUUGGCUCAACAAUUGCAAGUUUUCUUUAGGAGCUUUUUUUUGGGGGGGGGGAAAUUGUCUGUUUCCCCAAACUUCUCCCUUAGCUUGUAAUGAUGGUACAUGCAUGUUAAUGGUACCCUGUGUGCUGGGAAAUAGAGUUCCCAGCAUCAUCAACCAUGGUCAUUUGGAAAUUCACCCCUGAUUUCCAAAGUGAAGAUGCUAAGGAACAAUAUAAAGGACAAAGCAACCACAUAAAACAUUUGCCUGAAACUAUAGAACAGAGAAUUGGUCCAAAUAGAGAAGAUCCUCUCUUUCUCUUUCUCUUUCUCUUUCUCUCUCUCUCUCUCUCUCUCUCUCACACACACACACACACACAGCGCCAUUGAGGCAUAUUUCCAGUUUUCACAUGGGGAAGCAUAAAGGCGCUAGACCAGGGGUGUCUAACUCAAAUUCAUCGGGGGCCGCAUCAGCAGUUUGGUCACCCUCAAAGGGCCGGUUGUAUCUGUAGGACUUACAGUACAGGAGAGAAGGGUUCAGGCAGCCGUUGGAUCUGUCACAUCACAGGAUGGCAUGCGCUCAGUAUAAAAACAAGUGGAGGUUUCCUGAAUGCAUGUAAAGUGGAGGUUUCUUGUGUAGAACGGCCGGUGCCGCUAGAGGGCAGACGUUCUCUGGCUUGUAGGCUGCCGCGCAUGCGCUGAAGAGGCGACUUUCUUGUGUAAAAAAAAAAAAGCAAGAAUAAAGGUGAAGGCUGGCGGCUGGCAGCGGCUACACGGGCCACAUGACGAGGUCUGGUGGGUCGGAUUCGGCCCGCGGGCCUUGUGUUUGACACCCGUGCGCUAGACCUACCCCCAUGAAAUACUAAAAAGUAGAUUGGAGCCCAUUUGUGCCACAUGUAAAUGUUGUUAAUACACAACAGAUGCAGUCCUUCAAUUAAGACUACUUUAGACAGCAGAUUUUAAUAUAUCAUUAGCGGGUAGUGUUGCCCAUUAUUUUUAUUAUUCUAUUUUCACCACUGUGGGAGCAACACUGGGAUAUUUUGCCUCAGUCACCAAAGUGACAAGGGCUGUCUUUGACAUGUGAAAGACUAGACAGAGCAUGGAACAGAGACUGAAUGCAGACUGUAGCCAAUGUAGAAUUUAUACAUCCAUUAUAGACCAACUUAAGCCUCGCACAUGAAAAUCCCUUUCAUGUAGGAAGCAAGGAUCACAGUAUCUUGGACUGUCAAUUGAUUUAUAGGUACAGGGGCAAAGGUGAAUAAGCUGAGCAACAUUUCAUUCCCUUUCACAAAUGCUUGCCCAUUUCCCUCAAAUGGCUAAAUUUAUUCUGAGGUCACAGUUAUGGCUCGGCUCAUCUGCAAAAGCAAUGACAACAGACCUAUACAAUGCGUUCCAAAUGGAAUGUUAAGCCAGCCACACUGAAGCACUAACAUCCUUCAGAAUGGAAUUUUGAUCUCCUCAGAUCUCCUCCAGACCCCAGUGAAGCAAAUGUGAUCCAUGUUAUUGAUUUCUGUGGGUUGUGGAGCAGACCCAGAAAGUUAUAGAGAGUUCAGAAUGAAGCAAGACAAGCCUGCGCCAGUUCCUACUGUAACUGAAUUAUGCAUUUCAAAUGAUAUGAAUGAAACCUCAUUUUGGCUAAUUUGUUUCACAAACAUCUGCUUGCAUUUACACAUUUUUAUGACAUGAUAUCAGGCCGAUUAUGCGUCUGCUGUAUCUCUCCAGCAUAUGGUACGUGCUACAACAAAUCGAUCACAGUUAUGUGAUCAGAGUGUGCGGUAAACAUCUUCACAGUACAUAUAAUACUAUCAUGGCUUUCCAGAACUCACUUUGCAGUUUAAUCUCUAAAAUAUUCUUGGAAAGAUUAACCAGUGGUUUUCUGAAAUGCUUGUCGCUUAAAGAUCUUUGCCCUGUCUGGAAGUUACAACCGAAAAAGUUGGCCUCCUCUGAAAAAUAGAAACACACCUUUCUCACAAUCUUUCAGGAAAGGUCUGAGGCCCAGUCACAGCACGCAUAGCAGCAAUGCCAUUUUUGUAAAUAAAUAGUUGUAGUAAUCUUAGAGGGUGCGGGGCCUCUUUCUUUUCCUUGUCUGAGGCACUGGAUUUCUUCAGUUUGACACUAUACAGCAGUAUUAUCUGAGAAGUUUUAAUUUGAGCAGAAAGACAAGACGCCAUGUUCUUAGAAAGAAUCUAGAAACAGUAACCUUUUAUUCAGAUGUUGCUUUGUUAUUGGGCACAUGGUGGCUGCCCGGUAAAUAAAAUAAAUCUGCACAGUGUUUGUCCUGAAUUCCUGCCUAUCUCCCUUCAAUCAUACCUUGUUUUGUGUGAUCUAACACUGCAGUCAUUCUAAGUCAGAUUGCAAUAGGACAAUGGAGAUGGUGCUAUCUUAUAAAUAUUGCAGCAGCACCAUGCGUAUUGAUCCUCAUCCAACAUGGCACUGCUCAGUUAGACCCAGAUGCCACCAUUACAGAUGUGGAAGUAGCAUUGCCACCGUAUCUGUCCCAGUCCAAUCUAGUGUCUUCUCUUCUCUUAUGGAGAGGCACAGAGAAAAGGUAGAGUCCAAGCUGGAUUUCCAAGCCAACCAAGGAUGAGUAAAGGGAUUCCAAAACUUGCAAAGCUCCUGAAAAAAAUUAAAGCUGCUCCAAAUGAACAUAACUUGCAUUGGCUAUUGCUGAUCUGAGCUUCUCAGAGAAAGGUAUAAAAAAACAGUUUUUGUUGUUGUUUAAUGGGAGGUUAAUCUCUUCAUCUCCCCAAUUAUUUUCAGAAACAAAAUGGAAUAAGAGUAAUAAUUUCUGGGUGUAAGAUUUCAGAGUUCUAAAGCUGGUGACAUAUUGGAUACAAGUUAACAGUGUGGAUAAUACACCAAAAUGGAAAGUCACCUGCUGACCCCAAGCCUUUACAGAAGAAGCUUUGAUAUUGUGGAAUGCACACCAACAUUCUGAUUGCUGAAAAAGAAAGGAUCGUUCAUGCACUACUGGCAGAAGAAGUUCUAGGGUAGGGUAUUCCAACAGUACCAACAUAUCACCCCUGCCCCUACCCUCUGUUCUCCCAAACUAUAUAAAUAGCAGGAUCAUGGGUUCUGGUCUUGAGCCGGAAGCACAGGAUAUAACCAAAUUGAAUGAAUUCAGUCUCCAAAGAAAACCACCUUGUGCACUUCAAGCAGAAUGGAAAGUAUUCCACCUCUUCAUUUUGUACAUGGCUUAGAGAACCCUGGCAGGGGCAAAGCCAAGCCCAUGGCAUCAUCCAACUGAGCUUUGGUGAUGCAUGUCAGAUUCAGGUGGCAUCCCAUAGUGGAACUACAGCAAAUCCGAUUUAUCACGAAAGACCCUCAAAUGGGGGAUUCUGCACUAAGUAGUUCCACAUGCACUGGAGGCAAUGAGCAGUAGCACCUUCUGCAGUGCCUUGGGCACAUCUCUCCUAUUGGUUGUGUCUCUCAUGCUGAAGUGUCUCAUGUUCCUCUCCCAAAUGCCCCCGUGGUAAAAAAACAACACAAAAACAAAACUAAGGUAAAGAAUUAGAGCAAAAGGGGGAGCACCAUAAUGUAAACCACUGGCUGGAUUCUUCCUUGCUUAAGGAAAUAGACACUGUAGAGGAGGAACUGGGAAGACAUCUUGUCUGAAAAAAUGUCACUAUGUCUCCCCUUUUGAUUAGAUUAUAGCAACAAAAUGUCUGAGUCGAUACAAAGUGAUCACCUGCAGGCAAACCAAAACCAUGCAUUUUUCAGCUAAAGAGCUGGUGACUGUGGGGAGAAGAGGACCCAUUUAUUUUCAUUCUUUUGGCUAACCCAAGUUUCUUCUAUUUCUCAUUAAGCUUUCAAAAAUAGAGCUAGCUUUCCUGAGGGAGAAACUGUGCCUUUUCUCAUCACCCUUAGCUUUCUUUAAAUAGCCACGUGCUGUUGGACAAGUGAUGGGUAGCAUUUUUGCUGUUGGUGGUAGAUGGAAAAGGUUCAAGUAUUAAAUGCUGUCCAGGGAGUAUUGGAGGGUGAAGUAUGCAUGUGCUUAAGGUAAAAGGUAAAGGACCCCUGGACAGUUAAGUCCAGUCAAAGGUGACUAUAGGGUUGCGGCGCUCAUCUCGCUUUCAGGCUGAGGGAGCUGGCAUUUGUCCGCAGACAGGUUUCUGGGUCAUGUGGCCAGCAUGACUAAACCGCUUCUGGCACAACGGAACACUGUGACAGAAACCAGAGUGCACAGAAACACUGUUUACCUUCCUGCCACAGCAAUACAGUGGUACCUCGGGUUACAGAUGCUUCAGGUUACAGACUCCGCUAACCCAGAAAUAGUACCUCGGGUUAAGAACUUUGCUUCAGGAUGAGAACAGAAAUUGCGUGGCGGCGGUGCAGUGGCAGCGGGAGGCCCCAUUAGCUAAAGUGGUAGCUCAGGUUAAGAACAGUUUCAGGUUAAGAACAAACCUCCAGAACGAAUUAAGUUCUUAACCAGAGGUACCACUCUACCUAUUUAUCUACUUGCACUGGCAUGCUUUUGAACUGCUAGGUUGGCAGGAGCUGGGACAGAGCAACGAGAGCUCACUCCAUUGCAGGGAUUCGAACCACUGACCUUCCAAUUGGCAAAGCCCAAGAGGCUCAGUGGUUUAGACCACAGCGCCACCCGUGUCCCUCUAAUGUAUGUGCUUAGGGCUUGAUCCUUAGUUGGUCGCAAGGGUGGAAGACUUCGUCUUACCUUCAGUGAAUUUGGACCAAGCUGUGGGUAGUGAACACAAUCUAAGAAUGCAGGGCUGGUGCCAGACUUCAGCUGGCUCUCAGCAGGGUGCCUAAACACACAGUUUCAGUGCACAUAUUCCCAAAACAUCUGUGGUAUAUUUUCUUCUCCUAUUCAGAGGUGGCACAUCUGCCUGCCCACCACUAGAAUAGCUGUGUGCUAUGCAGAGCCCUGGAGGAGAGGGCAAGGCGUGGCAGCAAAGCUGGUGUGGGUCAAAGUGUGGGUGCUUCUGUUGCCCAACCCAACAGAUCUGUAUUAAUGUAACGGGCAGCAAAGACAGGGAAAUAGGCAGUAGGUGGAGAGCCAUCUAGAGGUAUUAAUCAGUGCUCUGUCCUCCAAAAAGAGAAUAUAGACAUAUGAGGGCAGUUGAACAUGCAUUUUUUUCAUUCCUGAAACUGGAUGCAACCAGCCCAAGAUAAGAGAGCAAGAUAUGCUAUUCCCGCCCAUUUAAAUUGGCCCUGCCAUGGAAGAAAAGCCUUAAUUUACAGCCUUAGCUUAAGAGAUCAAAGCUGCAGAUCUUUCAUCUUCUCUUGCCCUGGGAAUCACUUGUAGCAGAUUCAUGAGUGAAGCAGAUUCACCUUUAUUUAUGUGCAAAGCCCAGUGGCCAGUUGGCUUCCAGGCGGAAAAGUGUGCAUGCAAUAUAUCCCAAAUUCAGAAUUUUCCCUCUGCUGCAAUGUCUUUGAAAGUCAAGCUCAUGAUAUGUUGGUCCAAUGAGUUCAAAGGUCAAGGCUACCUAAGCCUAAAGAGAGGUCUUGGAGGCCCAGUUCACAGUGGUCAUAUCGAAAUGAGAUUAAAGUCUCGGCCUUUUGAAAAUUCCAUGCUGAUGGUAUGCAUUAAAAAACAAAACAAAACUGUGUGGCCAGGAUAAUCUGUGGAAAAGUCCUGAGGAUGAAUCAGUGAAUACUGCUGCAAGUUCUGUGGUAUUCUACAACAAGAAAUAAUAAGUACAAUGGCAGGACAAGUGCAAGAGAUCAACUUUUCAGAUAUAAAGUAUGGUAAUAUUCUGCAGCAGAGGGCAACCCUUUAAAAUCCUUUAAAACCCUGGAUCACCAAGGGACCCCCAAACUAGAUAGCAUGGAGCUGAAUGCCACCUCCUGGAAUGAGUCCUCAGGGUAAAAAUGGAGCCACCCAAAACAGUGCUUGCAAUCUCCAACCCACAGAGUUUUAAGUUGGGAGACAAAACUUUGCCAAUGGUAUCAAAUACUGCCAAGAGAUCUAACAGAACCAACGGGGUUGUAUUCUUCCUGUCUCUCCCACUGUAUGUAAUUCAUUUUGGCAACCAAUGACAUUCCAGGUUCAAAUCUGGGCCAGAAUCCAAGUUGAAGUCAAUCCAAUCAGUUUCAUCUACUAGGUCUUUGGGUUGACCAGUAACCACUUGCUCCCAACAAGUUACCCAAAAAAAGGACACCUGUCACUUGCCAUCAGUAGUUAUAAUCCUCUGGGUUCAAUAAGGAUUUCUUCAGGAGUGGUCUGCACAGUGCUUGGUGAGGGGCAGCAUGGGAGCAAUAUAAAGCAACCACCACUUUCUACUUACCAUAUGUGAAACUUAAGACAAUCAUUGUAAAGGGUGGGAAGGAGGGCUGAGGUACCUAAUGAAUUAAAGGGGUAUAUUGCUUGGUAUAAUCCCUUCACCUUUUUUGGGUGAAGUUUGCAUACUUUUUAUUUUUAAGUAUUUUGGGUUUUUUUUCUAGUGAGGAUGGAUAAUCUAAAAACAUGGCAGCUCUCCCUCCUCCUGUUCCCAUUGCUAUGAUGACUCAGACUACAUUACUGAGAUCAGGGUCACCAUGACCUGGUAGGCUUCUGAUGAGCAAGACCCAUCUUGGAAGGUGAGCAAAGUUCCAGUAAGCUAGAGGCCCCAUCUCUCCCAUCUGCAUUGUUGGGAAUGGAGGAGGAGUUAAGAUUUCUUGAAGAGCCAUUUAAAACUUACUGGGCCAGCAGGGCAAUGGUAAAUAUUUAGUUUGUAUCCACAAAUAAAGUCUAUAAAACACCACCAUAACAGAAUAUUUGUUGAUUUUAGGUCGCUGCAUUGUGUUUUUCAGGUCAAUAGUCCAAUUUAUCACUGUCUUCUACAUUUCAUAUACCAACAAUGCAGUCCUACAUAUAUCUACUUUGAAAUAGGUUCCAUUGAGUUCAGUGGAGCUGACUUUCGGGUAACCAAGCACAGGAUUCCAGACAGAGAAUCCCUAUGAGAAAUUAAAUGCUAUCAUCCUUGUUCCACUUAUGAUAAUGGGACAGGGUUUCAAUAGAAUCCAUUUUGAAUUAAUCAAGAGCCCUUUUGAAAAUGUAACCCUGCCAGAUAACAACAAAUCAUAUAAUUUGCUGAUGAUGCGUUGCAGUUAAGUACUACAUUCAGAUUCACACAAAAAACACCUGCAGUUAAGUAGGAAAAUUAAUACAGACACCCCAAGUUUAAUCACUCGCAUAAGAAUGUAAGAGCAGCCUGCUGGAUCAGGCCAAUGGCGCAUGUAGCCCAUCAUGCUGUUAUUAGAGGGGCCAACCAGAAGCUGCAAGCAGGGCCUGAGCACAAGAGCACUCUCCCCUUCUAUGGUUUCCAGCAACUGGUAUUCAGAAGCAUUCUGCCUCUGACCAUGGAGGCAGAGCAUAGCCAUCGUGAUUGGCGGCCUUGUCCUCCAUGAAUUUGUCUAAUCUUUUAAAGCCAUCCAAGUUGGUGGCCAUCACUGCCUCCUGUGGGAGUGUGUGCGUGAAGUACUUCAUUUUCUCUCUCCUGAAUCUUCCAACAUUCAACUUCAGUAGGUGCCCAUGAGUUCUAGCGUUAUGCAAGUGGAAGAAAAACUUUUCUCAAUCCACUUUCCCAAUGGCAUGCAUAGUUUUAUAAACUUCUACCAUGUCCCCUCUUACUCGCCUGAACAGCAGGUUGAGAGGCACACAGGCCACCUAGUCACAGUUUUCUCCAGAGUGGUGAAAUAUAUUUCAUUUCUAUUUCAUUUAUAGUAAUUACUUCUAAAUUUAUAGUAUUCAUUUAUAGUAAUUACUUCUAAAUUACUUCUAAAUUUGCAUCUACUACAUAUAAUUUAUCAUAUGUCAAUGCUGUGCACAUUUGUGCCUUCUUUUUGAUGAGGAAUUUCUUCAUUUGGAGCAAUGCCUAAGUGGUCACCCUAAUUGGUGACUCUCCUGCAUGGCUAAUUUGGGAACAUCAUCUGCAACAGGCCUCCUGGGCUACUUGGGCUAACUUGGAAGGGUCUGUCAGUGUUGCUAGGCUGACACUUGUUUCAGUAGCUGUCAUUGUGCUUCUGACUUAGCUGCUGGUAAGAUCACAACUAAGCUAACCCUGGGGUGGCAGUAGCAGGCGUGACCAUCCUGUUAAUCUCCUUUCAGUCUGCAAUAGCCUUUCAGCAUGACCAGGGACAACACCUAUGCCCAGCUGUGCCUCAUGCAGAUGCUGUAGGUAAGCAUCAUGUUAAAAUGUCUUAACACAGCAGUUACAUCCAAGUCGUUAAGUGCAAACUAGUUCUAAAACAAAACGGCAAAGCUUGAAGCCAACACAAUGCUAUUUUCUGCUUUGUUUUCUCGGAUGCCAAAGCCACGACUUUGUGUCUGCCUUUUUCAAGGCCCGGUGCCUUCCUCUCAUUUUUUCCAAUGAGAGGUAAACAGCUGGGGGCUCUGCCAAUUCAAUUAAGAAUGCUCACACACACAUUAUAUAAUGAGGCAGGAAUUUAGCCCCCUGAAGCCUAGUCCUGCAAUCUAAUCUGCUAUUUAGUGGCCCCCAAAGAUUCCUGAAACCUUUGUGGAGGGCUCCCCGCCUCCCUUUGCACACGCUGGUCUCUCCACACUUUCCCCUCUGUUUUUCUUUCCUCUUUGGCUUCCCUUCUCUGUAUUGUUUUAAGUUGGUGGCUGGGCUGCCUGCCAGAUUAAAUUUCAUCUGCUUCUCCUCCUCCUUCCCCCCCACCCCCAAAUCUUCCCCAGAAGUGAUACUGUUUACUUUCUCUGCUCCUUUUCUGAAUGUCUUUGUACACAUUGCAAGGGAUAUAAUCACCAGCUGUGGAGAGCUUUGUGAAAUGUUAACUUACUCCUCAAUACCCUAGGGCUAGUGAGUGUUUUUACACACACACACACACACACACACAGAGAGAGAGAGAGAGAGAGAGAGAGAGAGAGACGUGUGUGUGUGUGUGUGUGUGUGUGUGUGUGUGUGUUUCAAAUACAAAAUAAAACAACUGCUUCUGAAAGACAUCAACAUAUUUGUUACAUUCCAAUGCGGGGGUGGGGGGUGGGAACCCCCUUCCUUUCUCCUUUCUCCUUCAGGUGGAAUUCGUGUGUGUUCUAUUUACUCCUUCAGUAUAUUCCGUGUGGAAGUGUGAGCUUAUAAGGAGCCCAUUGUUUCCCUCCACAAAUCUUUGAGGAACAAUGGGAGGCAGAAGAAAGAUUAAAGUAGAAAAGUGUCUCUUCCCGUCCUUUUCCUCUUUGGUGGGUGAAAGAGAGGUCAAGCUGUGCCCAUUGACCUUUGCCCUCUGGCCCCUGUGAACCAAAGGCGAGCCUUUUGAAGUAGUAAAGUGCCCACGAAGAAAAGAAAACCAAACAAACUGCCCGGCCUUUUCCCUUCCACCGACCAAACUGAGUUGGCAGAUGCUUGAAAGACGAUGACACGCGGUGUGGUGGGGGGCAGAAGGGAGGCUUCUUGCACUGACCUCCCACCUACCCCAGCUUGCCGUUAAUUGGCACCGUAAAAAGCAAAAAAACCCACCCACACACUGGGAGAGGGGGUGAGGCAGGCCUUUCCUCCUCUUUCCCAGUCCCUACCUCCCGCCACCUAGCACAUCACCGACAGGGGCAGUUCUUUGAACUCUCUGUGCUCUGCUAAAACAGGCACAAAUGGGAAUGGUAUAUGGAGGGUUAAGAGGAAAAGCUUUGUAUGGGAAGAGAUCAGCUAGAUCACCAAAAGCUUUUCCUGUUGUCAAACAGAUAGGACUUGUCAGUUGUGUUACCUGAAUUGAUGCCGUCACAUGCAUGACCCCUGCUGGUAAUAUGCUGGAAGGUACCUUUGUACACUUUAGAGAUUCUUCCUGCCUCUUCCUCCCUUCAUUUGACCCUUAAAUUAUAACAAGGGAAAUGGUUUGUUUUCCAAAGCUAGGGAAAAGUGGAAUUUGAAGGCAAAACCCAUCGCAAUGGUUUGUCUCUUCCCUGGAGCCCAAACCCAGGGCGAAUCCAGUUGUCAGUUUUAGGAUGUGGUUGCAACUUACGGUAAUUUAAUCAGGACCAAUCUUACAGAUGUUUCUGUUGUGCUCUGCAGGUUUCCCAAACAUCUCACUGUGCAUCUGAAUGAAGAGGGAGGGCAAAUGGGGCAAGGACGAUGAGAAGCAGUUUGCUCAAGCCAGCUUGUAGGAUAUCAGGACAGUUAAACAGGAACUAAAU